Molecule: ribosomal RNA, 1129 nt
Filed under: metagenome
Description: bacterial LSU rRNA
Rfam family: Bacterial large subunit ribosomal RNA
Source: RNAcentral
CCGAAGCUGCGGAUGUGAUCCGAAAGGGUCACGUGGUAGCGGAGCGUUCCGUAAGCCUGCGAAGGGACAGCCGUGAGGCAUCCUGGAGGUAUCGGAAGUGCGAAUGCUGACAUGAGUAACGUAAAGGGGUGUGAGAGACACCCCCGCCGAAAGUCCAAGGGUUCCUGCGUAAAGAUAUUCUGCGCAGGGUCAGCCGGCCCCUAAGGCGAGGCCGAAAGGCGUAGUCGAUGGGAAUGGGGUGAAUAUUCCCCAGCCUGUGGAAGGUGACGAAGGCCGAAAGCUGUGCGUUCUUAUCGGAUUGAACGUGCGGCCUGGGACUUCCAGGAAAUAGCCUCCACAUUAUAGACCGUACCCGAAACCGACACAGGUGGACUGGUAGAGCAUACCAAGGCGCUUGAGAGAACGGUGUUGAAGGAACUCGGCAAAUUACCCCUGUAACUUCGGGAUAAGGGGGCCCCGUCGGUGCGCAAGCAUUGGCGGGGGGCACAGACCAGGGGGUAGCGACUGUUUAUCAAAAACACAGGGCUCUGCGAAAUCGUCAAGAUGACGUAUAGGGUCUGACGCCUGCCCGGUGCCGGAAGGUUAAGAGGAGAGGUGCAAGCUUUGAAUCGAAGCCCCGGUAAACGGCGGCCGUAACUAUAACGGUCCUAAGGUAGCGAAAUUCCUUGUCGGGUAAGUUCCGACCUGCACGAAUGGCGUAACGACUUCCCCGCUGUCUCCAGCAUAGACUCAGUGAAAUUGAAUUCCCCGUGAAGAUGCGGGGUUCCUGCGGUCAGACGGAAAGACCCCGUGAACCUUUACUGCAGCUUUGCACUGGCAUUCGUGUUGUCAUGUGUAGGAUAGGUGGUAGGCUUUGAAGCCGGGGCGCCAGCUCUGGUGGAGCCAUCCUUGAAAUACCACCCUUGAAGACAUGGAUGUCUAACCGCGACGCGUCUAUCCGCGUCCGGGACAGUGCAUGGUGGGUAGUUUGACUGGGGCGGUCGCCUCCCAAAGAGUAACGGAGGCGCGCGAAGGUGGGCUCAGAGCGGUCGGAAAUCGCUCGUCGAGUGCAAUGGCAUAAGCCUGCCUGACUGCAAGACUGACAAGUCGAGCAGAGACGAAAGUCGGCCAUAGUGAUCCGGUGGUCCCG